Bradysia coprophila is the source of this 454-nucleotide long non-coding RNA. RefSeq lists it as uncharacterized. The record is from RefSeq and is a predicted model, not a curated record. Lineage: Eukaryota; Metazoa; Arthropoda; Insecta; Diptera; Sciaridae.
GCUUGCAGAAUUAUUCAGUUGAGAACCGUCAUUCAUUCGAUUACAAUCUGUAACUAUGAAGUGUUGGAUAACCUUGUUUGUAGCAAUUGUUACUGUACAGUGCAUCAGUGUACGAGCGGCAUCAUCAAAACUCGCUGUGAGUGGUUUGGCAUCGACGACUACUGACCGCUCGCUCACAGACCUUUUCGCAACCUUUGGUAACGUACAGGACGUUAUUAUUAAUCGUGGCUCAGGCUCUGCUUUUGUUAUCAUGUCUACAAAAAAAGAAGCGGACGCUGCACUUAAAGCACUAAACGGAUCUGUAUUUGAAGGAAAACGCAUUAGUGUUAAACAUGCGUGAUAGUAUACACGUACCAGUUGCCAUUUUAUAUCAUUUACAAUAUCUACAAUAUUCAGGCAAAACAAAAGGUUCUCUGAUUUUUUGAAUGGAUAAUAAAGUUUCAGAUAUAAUUUA